Molecule: ribosomal RNA, 408 nt
Filed under: Fusobacteriota bacterium
Lineage: Bacteria; Fusobacteriati; Fusobacteriota
Description: Fusobacteria bacterium partial 16S ribosomal RNA
Rfam family: Bacterial small subunit ribosomal RNA
Source: RNAcentral
UGGGGAAUAUUGCACAAUGGACGGAAGUCUGAUGCAGCAACGCCGCGUGCGGGAUGACGGCCUUCGGGUUGUAAACCGCUUUUUCUCAUGACGAAGUUUUUUGACGGUAGUGGGGGAAGAAGCACCGGCUAACUACGUGCCAGCAGCCGCGGUGAUACGUAGGGUGCGAGCGUUGUCCGGAAUUAUUGGGCGUAAAGAGCUUGUAGGCGGUUUGUCGCGUCGAUAGUGCAAACUCAGUGCUUAACGCUGAGCCUGCUGUUGAGACGGGCAGACUAGAGGAAGGUAGGGGAGAAUGGACUUCCCGGUGGAGCGGUGGAAUGCGCAGAUCUCGGGCGGAACACCGGUGGCGAAGGCGGUUCUCUGGGAAUUUCCUGACGCUGAGAAGCGAAAGCGUGGGGAGCGAACAGG